RNAcentral lists this ribosomal RNA (580 nucleotides) under Staphylococcus aureus. RNAcentral describes it as "partial 23S ribosomal RNA". It matches the Rfam family "Bacterial large subunit ribosomal RNA", at positions 1 to 574 of the family's 2925-position model. The record is from RNAcentral. Lineage: Bacteria; Bacillati; Bacillota; Bacilli; Caryophanales; Staphylococcaceae.
AGAUUAAGUUAUUAAGGGCGCACGGUGGAUGCCUUGGCACUAGAAGCCGAUGAAGGACGUUACUAACGACGAUAUGCUUUGGGGAGCUGUAAGUAAGCUUUGAUCCAGAGAUUUCCGAAUGGGGAAACCCAGCAUGAGUUAUGUCAUGUUAUCGAUAUGUGAAUACAUAGCAUAUCAGAAGGCACACCCGGAGAACUGAAACAUCUUAGUACCCGGAGGAAGAGAAAGAAAAUUCGAUUCCCUUAGUAGCGGCGAGCGAAACGGGAAGAGCCCAAACCAAMAAGCUUGCUUGUUGGGGUUGUAGGACACUCUAUACGGAGUUACAAAGGACGACAUUAGACGAAUCAUCUGGAAAGAUGAAUCAAAGAAGGUAAUAAUCCUGUAGUCGAAAAUGUUGUCUCUCUUGAGUGGAUCCUGAGUACGACGGAGCACGUGAAAUUCCGUCGGAAUCUGGGAGGACCAUCUCCUAAGGCUAAAUACUCUCUAGUGACCGAUAGUGAACCAGUACCGUGAGGGAAAGGUGAAAAGCACCCCGGAAGGGGAGUGAAAUAGAACCUGAAACCGUGUGCUUACAAGUAGU